GCCCCGGUCGUCUAGCCCGGUCAAGGAUAUGGGCCUCUCGAGCCCAAGACCCGGGUUCAAAUCCCGGCCGGGGCA
Molecule: transfer RNA, 75 nt
Filed under: Thermoproteus tenax Kra 1
Lineage: Archaea; Thermoproteati; Thermoproteota; Thermoprotei; Thermoproteales; Thermoproteaceae
Description: tRNA-Glu (CTC) (tRNA-Glu-CTC-1-1)
Rfam family: tRNA
About the family: Transfer RNA (tRNA) molecules are approximately 80 nucleotides in length. Their secondary structure includes four short double-helical elements and three loops (D, anti-codon, and T loops). Further hydrogen bonds mediate the characteristic L-shaped molecular structure. tRNAs have two regions of fundamental functional importance: the anti-codon, which is responsible for specific mRNA codon recognition, and the 3' end, to which the tRNAs corresponding amino acid is attached (by aminoacyl-tRNA synthetases). tRNAs cope with the degeneracy of the genetic code in two manners: having more than one tRNA (with a specific anti-codon) for a particular amino acid; and 'wobble' base-pairing, i.e. permitting non-standard base-pairing at the 3rd anti-codon position.
Source: RNAcentral